UAAGGAAUCUUCCACAAUGGGGGCAACCCUGAUGGAGCAACGCCGCGUGAAGGAUGAAGGCCCUAGGGUCGUAAACUUCUUUUGUUAGCGAAGAAUAUGACGGUAACUAACGAAUAAGGGUCGGCUAACUACGUGCCAGCAGCCGCGGUCAUACGUAGGACCCAAGCGUUAUCCGGAGUGACUGGGCGUAAAGAGUUGCGUAGGCGGUCUGUAAAGCGAAUAGUGAAAUCUGGUGGCUCAACCACCAACCCAUUAUUCGAACUCACAGACUCGAGAAUGGUAGAGGUAGCUGGAAUUUCUAGUGUAGGGGUAAUAUCCGUAGAUAUUAGAAGGAACACCAAUGGCGUAGGCAGGCUACUGGACCAUUUCUGACGCUGAGGCACGAAAGCGUGGGGAGCGAACCGG
This 405-nucleotide ribosomal RNA is filed under the name uncultured bacterium. RNAcentral's name for it is "bacterial SSU rRNA". It matches the Rfam family "Bacterial small subunit ribosomal RNA", at positions 355 to 776 of the family's 1533-position model. The record is from RNAcentral.